Molecule: ribosomal RNA, 243 nt
Filed under: uncultured bacterium
Lineage: Bacteria
Description: partial 16S ribosomal RNA
Rfam family: Bacterial small subunit ribosomal RNA
Source: RNAcentral
UUGAACGCUGGCGGCAUGCCUUACACAUGCAAGUCGAACGGUAACGCGGGGCAACCUGGCGACGAGUGGCGAACGGGUGAGUAAUAUAUCGGAACGUGCCCAGUAGUGGGGGAUAGCCCGGCGAAAGCCGGAUUAAUACCGCAUGAGACCUGAGGGUGAAAGCGGGGGAUCGCAAGACCUCGCGCUAUUGGAGCGGCCCGAUAUCAGAUUAGCUAGUUGGUGGGGUAAAGGCCCACCAAGGCA